GAUGACAACACCGUCGUUACCCCGACGGCCAGGGGCUGUACGUGGAAACCCUGAAGCGUAAACCAGACCAGAGUAAAGCCUUUGAGUUGACCAGCAAGUGGGACGCCAGCAGCCACUUCCUCGACGGGGGCGGCUUCACCCGUUUCGCCAACUGGCGGUUCAUCCACCGUGCCCAGCUCAACUGCGUCCCGCUCAAUGGAGCCGUCCACCACGGGAACCGAGACAAGCGUUGCAGGAAGUGCGGCUACCCCAACAAGACCCUGCCCCACGUCCUGUGCAGCUGCAAACCCCACUCCAGAGCCUGGCAGCUGCGCCACAACGCCAUCCAGAACCGCCUGGUGAAAGCCAUCGCGCCACACCUGGGGGAGAUCUCCGUGAACUGCACCAUCGCCGGUACUGACAGCCAGCUACGACCUGACGUGGUAGUCACCGACGAGGCCCAGAAAAAGAUCAUCCUCGUCGACGUCACGGUCUCCUUUGAGUACAGGACCCCGGCAUUUCGCAAAGCCCGAGCUUGUAAGCUGGAAAAGUACGCCCCCCUGGCUGACAUCCUGAGAGCGAAGGGCUAUGAGGUGCAGAUGGACGCCCUGAUUGUCGGAGCCCUGGGUGCCUGGGACCCCUGCAACGAGCGUGGGCUGCAGACCUGCAGGAUUGGUCGACGCUACGCACGUCUCAUGUGGCGCCUCAUGGUCUCAGACGCCAUCCGAUGGUCCACGGACAUCUACAUCGAGCACAUCACCGGCCACCGACAGUACCAGGAGGCGUGAGCCAGAGCGACAUCGUUCUCCCACUACGAGAAAGGGACCAAGUGACCUUCUCUGUUGGAUCAUAUGAACUGGAACCAUAAACUCCCUGAACAUUAAAUCUUACCAAAUGAGGGUCAAUCCAUCAUCAUCAUAUCCACUCAUUAUAAUCCACACCCGAACAUAGCCACUUUAUGAACUUCAUACCCUCAUAUCUUAAUGUCUGUACUUUGACCCAUCAUCCUUUUACCCCCAAUUGGGGAUAUUGCAGAUUAUGUAUUCCUCAUGCCACUUUAUCUUAAACCAAACUUUGCACCCUCGAUAAUCUGUAUGUUAUUCCCUGAUAACAGAGUUUGAGCAUAGAAAUUUCUGGUUCACUAU
RNAcentral lists this long non-coding RNA (1124 nucleotides) under Chrysemys picta bellii (western painted turtle). RNAcentral's name for it is "lncRNA (ENSCPBG00000002685.1)". The record is from RNAcentral. Lineage: Eukaryota; Metazoa; Chordata; Testudines; Emydidae.